AUGUCAUCCUUGCUAGGCUGACCAUAAUCAGGGGAGAUAGCAUCUUCAUUAUCUGAUAAGAUUAACGGCUGAUUUAUUGUGAGUCUUGUGUCACAUGUUUUCCAUCGCUCGGAGGAGGCUGCAAGGUCUGACCGCUGCACCAAGGGCCAACGUGACCGGGCAAGAAGUAGGGACGAUACAAGUCUAGGACCUGCUGGAGCAGCCCCUCGUCGUGCCAAGCGAGGCGCUCACAAGACACACCAUGGACUCCACCUCAGACGCGCCAGAUUCCAGGCGGCGAAGGACGACGGGACGUCACCUCCUCCUCUUGUUGUGGAAGAGCCUGUUGUUACGCAAGAAGCAGUGGGUCCUGUUGCUCUUCGAAAUACUGUUGCCUGUCGCUCUCUUCUCCGUCAUUCUUUUUCUCAGGCUUCUGCCCGAUUCGGACCUCAAGCCCAUCUACUAUAACAAGACAACAUAUGGUGAAAGCGUGACUGAAGAUGAUUUGCUGAAAAGUGUGUGCUUCGGUAUUGUGAUCGGGGGCAACUGUUAUAUUUCUCCUACCUUCAACGGGCAGAACAAACUCUACUACGGCCCCAACGAGACCUUCCCGACAGACGUUUCAAACUACUUGGUGAAGAGGCUCGGCUGGCCUCCAGAUGCGGUGGAAGCCGUGAACGACCUGGACGAAAUGGAUUACCUAGUGGAGCAAAUGUACUUCGCCACCAACGAGAGCAUUUCUAUCCUUGUCGGCCUCUACUUCGAAGACUUCCCGGUGGAUGACAAGCUGCCGAUAAAUUUGCGCUACAAACUACGCCUUCCAGGUUCCUGGUCCACAGAGUACGAGUACCCCUUCUUUCAGAUGCCAGGGCCGGGAAACUCUAACCUAAGUCUGGUGGGGGGGAAGGACAGCACCCUUGCCCCGUCAAUCUCAUGCACCCCCUUUUCCGGGGAACCGCCAGCGUAGUGCAGACGAAACAUAUGCUCGUCUAUCAAGACCCAGGGUUAACCGGGCAAUCUCUCCCUGUGGGUGCCUGGAACAUCCUGAGCCUCUCAGAGGAUCAGCGACCACCCCAUCUGUCAGCUGGACGCAGGAGGUUGAGAGUGGACAUAAUGGGGAUCUCUGAGACGAGGAGGCCUGGCAAUAGAGAGAUGAAUACUUGAAUAGUGAGGGUUAUACCUACUACUGGUCAGGUCAGAGUGAUGGUGCCCGUCUUAGAGGAGUAGCUAUGACCAUUUCUAGCAGAUUGCAGUCUGUUGUUUGGGUUACUUCGGUUGAUGAGCGUAUGAUGCUGGUGAGGUUGAAGCACACCUUGGGCUUUAUACCUUGAUGUGUGAGCUUGAGGAGAAAGAGAUGUUCGAUGCCAAGCUUGAAUCUAUAGUCGACUAGUGCCCCCCGCACGACACACAAAUUGUCUUAGAUGACUAAUAUAGUUAGUGGCGCUCAUAGCCGGCUAUGAGUUUUGCGUUGGUCCCCAUGGCUCUGGCACCAGAAACGUAAACAAUUCCUUCCUUCUGAACUUCGCAAGAUCCAGAAUUAAGACUGAGGAUUACUGGUUCCUGGUUCCAUAGACUCGAGCCUCCCCGCUGGAUUUGUUACAGUAAUGCUGGCCGUGUGGCAAAGGAGAUUGAUCACAGUCUUGUUAGUACUCGCUGGAGGAUCCUCCAGAACUGUAAUGCUUUCCUGAAAGCUGAGUUCUUUGCCACCGACCAUAGACUGGAUGUGGCAAAAGUGAGGAUACACAUCAGGUCCAAGAACCCCCUCAAGAUGGAACCCCCCAGGGUCCUAUCUUGAGAAGUGCAGUGCAGUGCAGUGAAGUGGUUGGUACAGUGCUUGGUACUUUAGAGGACUAUGGAGAGGUGUGGGAUAAAUUUUAGUGUAAAAUUCUCAAAGCUGCCGAGGAGUGCACUGGAGAGACGCUGCCCCGACAAAAGAGAAAAGAAUUGAGAGGCCAGAAGAGAGGUCAGUUUCGAAGAAGUGUCUUUGAUAGUCUUAAAUUGAAAGAGCUCAAGUCGUAGGCACGAGGAAAUACAGACGGAGGAAAGGUGCUUCAGAGUUUACCAGUUGAAGGGGUAAAAGAAUGAAGAUGCUGGUUAACUCUUGCAUAAGGGAUUUAGAUAGAGUAGGAAUGAGCAAGGGUAGUAAGUCAUGUGCAGCUGUGGGGGAGGCAUGCAGUUAGCAAGUUCAGAGGAGCAGUCAGCAUGAAAAUAUUUAUAGAAAUGAGAAAGAAAUGCAACAUUGUGGCGGAAUUUGAGAACUAGAAGACUGAUGGUAAGAGGAGGGGAGUCGAUGAAAUGAAGAGCCUUUUGACUCUACUCUGUCCAAGAGAGUUAUAUGUGUGAAAGGCAAAGAUUUGUGCCAGACUUUGUUAAAAGCAUUCAAGAUGUUUAAGGCAACAACAAAAGUUUCACCGAAAAGGCUAAGAGAGAAUGACCAAGAGUCAGUCAGGAAGGCAAGACGUUCAACAGUAGAAUGUCCCUUGUGGAACCCAUACUAGCGAUCAGGUAGGAGGUCAGAAAUUGAUAUAGAUGCUCAAGAAUUUUCCAGUUAAGGAUUGAUUCAAAAGCUUUAGGAAAACAGGAAAGUAAAACUAUAGGACGGUAGUUUGAGGGAUUAGAACGAUCACCCUUCUUAGGUACAAGCUAUACAUAGACGGAUUUCGAACAGGAAGAAAAGUGGAUUUUGAAAGGCAGAGACUAAAGAGUUUGGCUAGGCAGGGUGUCAGCACGGAAGCACAGCUUUUAAGGAUUAUAGGAGACAUUCCAUCAUGUCCAUAAGGCUUCUGAGGAUUGAGGUCAGAGAGGACAUAGAAAACAUCGUUCUUAGGAAUUUUAAUAACAGGCAUAUUGAGUCUGAGGGGGAUGAGUAGAAGGAAUAUGUCCUGAAUCAUCCAGAGUGGAAUUUUUAAAGAGAGUUUGAGCGAAGAGUUCAGCUAUAGAGACAGAUAUGAUAGCUGUGCUGCCAUUGGGACUAAGGAGAAGUGGGAAAGAUGAAGAAGCAAAAGUAUUAGAUAUUUUUGGCUAGGUGCCAGAAAAGAUGAAGCUGGGAAAGCUGUGGGUAAGGAUGAGUGUGAUGUAAAAUGUUUGAAAGGUGGUGGAACGUGUAUAAUUGAGUAGUUAGUGAGACUGUUGAAUGUAUGCUAUGUGUCAAGUUUGGUACCAGUGGACUGAGUGAGUGUAUGUGUAGUUCCUCUGUACAAAAUAAAAGGUGAUAGACUCGAGUGCUGAGUGUGAUAGGAAAGGUGUAGGGUAGGGUAUUGAUAAAGAGAAUUAGAAAGAGUACAGAGUGUGUGAUCUGCGAAGAACAAAGUGGUUUUAGGAGAGGGAAAGGGUGUGUGGACCAAGUGUUUGCACUGACGCAGGUGUGUCAAAAAUACUUGGCGAAAGGAAAAUAUGUGUUUUGGGCGAGGGUUAAGCCACCUCAAUACUUAAAACACUUCACCUUUUAGAUCACCCCAGCAUAGAGCAUUGCAUUCAACCCUCUACCCUCUAGCCUUGUAUACAUCUAAUUACUUUAUUCUUACUCACAUUCACUUUCAGUUUCUUCCUCCUGUAUACCCUUCCAAACUCAGCGGUGGGCAAGGCUGGCAGUACGGUACGGUACGGAAUUUUUAACCGUACUCCGUACCUGAAAAGAAUACCGUACCAUAAUUUCGUACCGUACCCCCAGCUAAUUUUCCGUACCGUACAGUACGCUAAAAAUACUGUACCGUAAUUCCGUACCACUAUCGUACCAUCAGGAAAAUAUAUAUACAUACAUAAAAAAAAAUUGUGAAAAAAUAAUUAGGGUACGUCAGUAAUCUGAAAAGGCACAUUUACAAAGUGACUAUACAUGUAUUAGGCCUUAAAUAUACCAUACCAGGCGCUAAUGGGCAGGCAAGAAAGUAAAAAAAAAAAAAAAUGCUUAGGAUGAUCACUUGUUUUAAGCCUGUGGUACGGUACGGUUUGGAAUAUUACUAAAUUUUCCGUACUUGUAUCAUACCGUACCUUACAUUACGAAAAAUAUCGUAUCGUAAUUCCGUACAGUAUUUUUUAUCAAAAUUUCAACCGCACCGUACCGUAUUCCGUACCAUACCGUACCAAACUGCCAGCUUUGACAGUGGGUGAUUGGUUAGUCUGCGGACGCGGAGUCCAGGAAGACGCAGGUUUUCGUCCUGCCCGCCGAUACGAACAAGUUGGCAAUUUUCAGUCAUCGCCGAGUGACCGAAGACUACCCACAUGCUGCCCUGAAUACCAUCUAUCAACACGGACUCUAGAUUCUUUCUAAACAGAGGAUCAAAGAUGAGCUGGCGCCACUAUAAAAACUUGCAUGCGCCAUAACAGGCGGAGUGGUUAGCGUGCGGACAACGCAUUCACCGCGUCAUGGACAACGUCGGUUCGAAUCCCCACGCUACCACUUGGGAUUUUUCAGUCACCGCCGAGUGGCCUAAGACUACCCACAUGCUGUCUAGAGACCACCCAUCAGCCUGGACUCUAGAAAAAAACGUCCAAGUGAAUCAAGAAUGAGUUUCGGGGGGCAGCAUGAGCCAAGCAUAACUGGCGCCACUAUCAAACAAAAUUGCCUUCGCCAUGACGGGCUCGGGCCGAUCACCUGGCCCCUGAA
Molecule: RNA transcript, 4582 nt
Organism: Eriocheir sinensis (Chinese mitten crab)
Lineage: Eukaryota; Metazoa; Arthropoda; Malacostraca; Decapoda; Varunidae
Exons: 6
Source: RefSeq, a predicted model, not a curated record